RNAcentral lists this ribosomal RNA (273 nucleotides) under uncultured bacterium. Its description in RNAcentral is "partial 16S ribosomal RNA". It matches the Rfam family "Bacterial small subunit ribosomal RNA", at positions 524 to 796 of the family's 1533-position model. The record is from RNAcentral.
UACGUAGGGUGCGAGCGUUAAUCGGAAUUACUGGGCGUAAAGCGUGCGCAGGCGGUUAUGCAAGACAGAUGUGAAAUCCCCGGGCUCAACCUGGGAACUGCAUUUGUGACUGCAUAGCUAGAGUACGGCAGAGGGGGAUGGAAUUCCGCGUGUAGCAGUGAAAUGCGUAGAUAUGCGGAGGAACACCGAUGGCGAAGGCAAUCCCCUGGGCCUGCACUGACGCUCAUGCACGAAAGCGUGGGGAGCAAACAGGAUUAGAAACCCCCGUAGUCC